GCUUUGGAGGAAAUCAGUGGCACCAACCCACUGUGCUAAAGCAAAGGUCAUCAGCAGUCACGCUGGUUUUAUAUUGUCUUUGUAUUAUCUUGUGAUUCAUCUUCUCAGGUUGCAUGACCACAGUCACUUUUACCCAGCCAAGUUCUGCCCAGGCAAAGCCAGGGAGUUCUAUUACUCUGGCUUGUGUUGUCUCUGGAUAUAAUAUCGGUGACCAUCAUUUGAGCUGGAUCUGACAAGCCCCUGGGAAAAGUCUGGUCUGGCUAGCAGCUUUCAGAACAGUUUACACAACCUACAUCGCGGAUGAGUUCAAAGGACGGGUCACCCCCUCCACCAGCGGCUCCACUGCUAGGCUAAAGAUAGAGAGUCUCAUAGCUGCAGACACCGCUACUUACUACUGUGCCAGAAAUACACAGUGGUCGCUGCCUGGCUUCCUCUCCGACAAUAUCCCUUGUGGAACUGGCCUCCUCUCACUUAGCCCAUCUCUGUCUUGCAUGAACUUCUCUCCGGGGCAUAAGGAAAAUAAAAGGCCCAUGCGUCAUUGGAGUCCCACAUCAGUCCUCAGAGUGUGGGUCCCUUGGGGGACAGGCCUUGCUCUGCUGCCUCUCCAAAGGGUUGGAUUUUACCCAGAGAGAUUUAGGGUUUUGGUCUUUGCAAUUUUAAUGUCUGUUCUUCAAAUGGAAUCGGGAUCGGGAAGCAGCAUGGUCUGCUGAUCAGGCCACUGCAGGGGGAAUCAGGAAAUUUUAGUUCUGUUCUUGGUUGUGACAUUGAUCUACAAUGUGAAGUCAAGCCAGUGACUACCCCAGUCUCUGAUUCCUUUGUCAGGCUUACCUGUUUAAAGUGAAACCUCUUGAGUGCAAGGCCUGUCUCCUGUGGUGUGUAUGGGCAGCACCUCGCACACUGGAACCCUGUGUGUUGGCACCCUUAAGGUGUU
Molecule: long non-coding RNA, 931 nt
Organism: Dermochelys coriacea (leatherback sea turtle)
Lineage: Eukaryota; Metazoa; Chordata; Testudines; Dermochelyidae
Exons: 2
Source: RefSeq, a predicted model, not a curated record